RNAcentral lists this ribosomal RNA (407 nucleotides) under uncultured bacterium. Its description in RNAcentral is "partial 16S ribosomal RNA". It matches the Rfam family "Bacterial small subunit ribosomal RNA", at positions 30 to 526 of the family's 1533-position model. The record is from RNAcentral.
AUUGAACGCUGGCGGCAGGCCUAACACAUGCAAGUCGAGCGGAUCGUCGGACGGGUGAGUAUUGUCUAGGAAUCUGCCUCGUUGUGGGGGAUACCGUCCGGUAACGGGCCCUAAUACCGCAUCCUCUCAGAUGAGCCUCGGGCGUAUGAGCUAGUUGGUGGAGCAAUGGCCUACCAAGGCGACGAUCCGUCACUGGUCUUAGAGGAUGAUCAGUCACACUGGAAAGGAGACACGGUCCGAACUCCUACGGGAGGCAGCAGUAGGGAAUAUUGGGCAAUGGGCGAAAGCCUGAUCCAGCCAUGCCGCGUGAGUGAAGAAGGUCUUCGGAUUGUAAAGCACUUUAAGUUGGGAGGCGUUACCGACAGAAUAAGCACCGGCUAACUUCGUGCCAGCAGCCGCGGUAAUAC